Molecule: ribosomal RNA, 556 nt
Filed under: Myrothecium sp. M3
Lineage: Eukaryota; Fungi; Ascomycota; Sordariomycetes; Hypocreales; Stachybotryaceae
Description: eukaryotic LSU rRNA
Rfam family: 5.8S ribosomal RNA (bases 150-305)
Source: RNAcentral
UGAUCCAUGUGAACCUUACCUAUCGUUGCUUCGGCGGUCACGCCCCCGGCAGGGCACCGCCAGGGCCCGGACCGAGGCGCCCGCCGGAGACCCCAAACCCUCUGUCUUUAGUGGCCUGCCCUUUCACAGGACAUAAACAAAUAAAUAAAAACUUUCAACAACGGAUCUCUUGGCUCUCAUGCCCCGAUGAAGAACGCAGCGAAAUGCGAUAAGUAAUGUGAAUUGCAAAUUUCAGUCAAUCAUCGAAUCUUUGAACGCACAUUGCGCCCGCCAGUAUUCUGGCGGGCAUGCCUGUUCGAGCGUCAUUUUCAACCCUCAGGCCCCCAGUGCCUGGCGUUGGUUGGCCGCCGGCGUGCCUGCUCCUCCAGAAGGAGGGGCCCCGAAGGGCCAGCUAGCUCAGUGGCGGUCUCGCUGUAGCCCUCCUCCGCGUAGUAGCACAACCUCGCGGCCUGGAGCUCGGCGGUGGCCAUGCCGUAAAACACCCCACGGAACUUGCUGGAACGCGCCCCCAGGUAGGAAUACCCGGUGAACUUAAGCAUAUCAAUAAGCGGAGGAA